Molecule: long non-coding RNA, 750 nt
Filed under: Homo sapiens (human)
Lineage: Eukaryota; Metazoa; Chordata; Mammalia; Primates; Hominidae
Description: non-protein coding CYP1B1-AS1:53
Source: RNAcentral
AUGGAGGAUGUAGAAGAGAAGAAGAAGAAGGUUCCUGUUAUGCCAGAAACCCUUAAGAAAAAGGGAAGGAAUUUCUCAGAGCUGAAGAUCAAGUGCCUUUGAAAGAAGUUUGCCUAAAAGAUGCUUUGAAAGGCAAGGAGGAAGCUUAUCUAUGAAGAAGCAAAGCACUAUCACAGGGAAUAAAGGCAGAUGUACAGAACUGAAAUAUGAAUGGCGAGGAUGGCAAGAAAAGCUGGCAACUUCUAUGUACCUGAAGAACCCAAAUUGGCAUUUGUCAUCAGGAUCAGAGGUAUCAAUGGUGUGAGGCCAAAGGUCCGAAAGGUGUUGCAGCUUCUUCGCCUUCGUCAAAUCUUCAAUGGAACCUUUGUGAAACUCAACAAAGUUUCAAUUAACAUGCUGAGGGUUGUAGAGCCAUAUAUUGCAUGGGAGUACCCAAAUCUGAAGUCAGUAAAUGAACUAAUCUACAAGCGUGCUUAUGGCAAAAUCAGUAAGAAGCGAAUUGCUUUCUUUGACAGAUAACACUUCGAUUGCUCAAUCUCUUGGUAAAUAUGGCAUCGUCUGCAUGGAGGAUCUGAUUCAUGAGAUCUAUACUGUUGGAAAAUGCUUCAAAGAAGCAAAUAACUUCCUGUGGCCCUUCAAAUUAUCUUCUGCAUGAGGUGGAAAGAAGAAAAGGCCACCCACUUUGUAGAAGGUGGAGAUCCUGGCAACAGGGAGGACCAGAUCAACAGACUUAUUAAAAGAAUGAACUAA